This 295-nucleotide ribosomal RNA is filed under the name uncultured bacterium. RNAcentral's name for it is "partial 16S ribosomal RNA". It matches the Rfam family "Bacterial small subunit ribosomal RNA", at positions 333 to 624 of the family's 1533-position model. The record is from RNAcentral.
GGAGGCCUACGGGACGCAGCAGUGAGGAAUAUUGGUCAAUGGGCGGGAGCCUGAACCAGCCAAGUCGCGUGAGGGAAGACGGUCCUAUGGAUUGUAAACCUCUUUAGGCGGGGAGCAAUGCCGGGCACGCGUGCCCGGAGGGAGAGUACCCGCAGAAUAAGCAUCGGCUAACUCCGUGCCAGCAGCCGCGGUAAUACGGAGGAUGCGAGCGUUAUCCGGAUUUAUUGGGGGUAAAGGGAACGCAGGCGGUCUUUUAAGUCUGAUGUGAAAGCCUUCGGCUUAACCGGAGGAGUGC